This 223-nucleotide long non-coding RNA is filed under the name Carica papaya (papaya). RNAcentral describes it as "long non-coding RNA (CPAP_LNC009497)". The record is from RNAcentral. Lineage: Eukaryota; Viridiplantae; Streptophyta; Magnoliopsida; Brassicales; Caricaceae.
UUUAAUCGCAAGGAUCGAUGCAAAUGUGGCCGAAUUCGUCCGGAAACGGCCGAAAACGGCCAAACCGAGGCGAAUCGCCGCCGCUCACCGGAGCACGGCGGAGCCGCCGUGCCGAAAUUGCGAUAUUGGCCAAAAAGGGGCCCUGGGCCUAAUUUGGGAUUUUUUUGAACACGUGCAGGUACCAGUAGUGCGUUUCAGUUCCCCGAAAAAAAUUCAGAGAAAA